GGUUAAGCGACUAAGCGUACACGGUGGAUGCCCUGGCAGUCAGAGGCGAUGAAGGACGUGCUAAUCUGCGAAAAGCGCCGGCGAGGUGAUAUGAACCCUUGACCCGGCGAUGUCCGAAUGGGGAAACCCAGUGCAAUCCGUUGCACUAUCGUUAACUGAAUACAUAGGUUAACGAGGCGAACCGGGGGAACUGAAACAUCUAAGUACCCCGAGGAAAAGAAAUCAACCGAGAUUCCCCCAGUAGCGGCGAGCGAACGGGGAGCAGCCCGGAGUCUGAAUCAGCUUGUGUGUUAGUGGAACGGUCUGGAAAGUCCGACGGUACAGGGUGAUAGUCCCGUACACGAAAGCACACAUGCUGUGAACUCGAAGAGUAGGGCGGGACACGUGGUAUCCUGUCUGAAUAUGGGGGGACCAUCCUCCAAGGCUAAAUACUCCUGACUGACCGAUAGUGAACCAGUACCGUGAGGGAAAGGCGAAAAGAACCCCGGCGAGGGGAGUGAAAAAGAACCUGAAACCGUGUACGUACAAGCAGUGGGAGCCUCUUUAUGGGGUGACUGCGUACCUUUUGUAUAAUGGGUCAGCGACUUAUAUUCUGUAGCAAGGUUAACCGUAUAGGGGAGCCGAAGGGAAACCGAGUCUUAACUGGGCGUUAAGUUGCAGGGUAUAGACCCGAAACCCGGUGAUCUAGCCAUGGGCAGGUUGAAGGUUGGGUAACACUAACUGGAGGACCGAACCGACUAAUGUUGAAAAAUUAGCGGAUGACCUGUGGCUGGGGGUGAAAGGCCAAUCAAACCGGGAGAUAGCUGGUUCUCCCCGAAAGCUAUUUAGGUAGCGCCUCGUGAACUCAUCUUCGGGGGUAGAGCACUGUUUCGGCUAGGGGGCCAUCCCGGCUUACCAACCCGAUGCAAACUACGAAUACCGAAGAAUGUUAUCACGGGAGACACACGGCGGGUGCUAACGUCCGUCGUGAAGAGGGAAACAACCCAGACCGCCAGCUAAGGUCCCAAAGUCAUGGUUAAGUGGGAAACGAUGUGGGAAGGCACAGACAGCCAGGAUGUUGGCUUAGAAGCAGCCAUCAUUUAAAGAAAGCGUAAUAGCUCACUGGUCGAGUCGGCCUGCGCGGAAGAUGUAACGGGGCUAAACCAUGCACCGAAGCUGCGGCAGCGACGCUUAUGCGUUGUUGGGUAGGGGAGCGUUCUGUAAGCCGUUGAAGGUGUGCUGUGAGGCAUGCUGGAGGUAUCAGAAGUGCGAAUGCUGACAUAAGUAACGAUAAAGCGGGUGAAAAGCCCGCUCGCCGGAAGACCAAGGGUUCCUGUCCAACGUUAAUCGGGGCAGGGUGAGUCGACCCCUAAGGCGAGGCCGAAAGGCGUAGUCGAUGGGAAACAGGUUAAUAUUCCUGUACUUGGUGUUACUGCGAAGGGGGGACGGAGAAGGCUAUGUCAGCCGGGCGACGGUUGUCCCGGUUUAAGCAUGUAGGCGGAGGUUCCAGGUAAAUCCGGUACCUUAUUAACGCUGAGGUGUGAUGACGAGGCACUACGGUGCUGAAGUGAUAAAUGCCCUGCUUCCAGGAAAAGCCUCUAAGCAUCAGGUAACACGAAAUCGUACCCCAAACCGACACAGGUGGUCAGGUAGAGAAUACCAAGGCGCUUGAGAGAACUCGGGUGAAGGAACUAGGCAAAAUGGUGCCGUAACUUCGGGAGAAGGCACGCUGAUGUGUAGGUGAAGCCCCUGCGGGUGGAGCUGAAAUCAGUCGAAGAUACCAGCUGGCUGCAACUGUUUAUUAAAAACACAGCACUGUGCAAACACGAAAGUGGACGUAUACGGUGUGACGCCUGCCCGGUGCCGGAAGGUUAAUUGAUGGGGUUAGCGGCAACGCGAAGCUCUUGAUCGAAGCCCCGGUAAACGGCGGCCGUAACUAUAACGGUCCUAAGGUAGCGAAAUUCCUUGUCGGGUAAGUUCCGACCUGCACGAAUGGCGUAAUGAUGGCCAGGCUGUCUCCACCCGAGACUCAGUGAAAUUGAACUCGCUGUGAAGAUGCAGUGUACCCGCGGCAAGACGGAAAGACCCCGUGAACCUUUACUAUAGCUUGACACUGAACACUGGUCCUUGAUGUGUAGGAUAGGUGGGAGGCUUUGAAGCGUGGACGCCAGUCUGCGUGGAGCCAACCUUGAAAUACCACCCUUUAAUGGCUGGUGUUCUAACGUAGACCCGUAAUCCGGGUUGCGGACAGUGUCUGGUGGGUAGUUUGACUGGGGCGGUCUCCUCCCAAAGAGUAACGGAGGAGCACGAAGGUUGGCUAAUCCUGGUCGGACAUCAGGAGGUUAGUGCAAUGGCAUAAGCCAGCUUGACUGCGAGCGUGACGGCGCGAGCAGGUGCGAAAGCAGGUCAUAGUGAUCCGGUGGUUCUGAAUGGAAGGGCCAUCGCUCAACGGAUAAAAGGUACUCCGGGGAUAACAGGCUGAUACCGCCCAAGAGUUCAUAUCGACGGCGGUGUUUGGCACCUCGAUGUCGGCUCAUCACAUCCUGGGGCUGAAGUAGGUCCCAAGGGUAUGGCUGUUCGCCAUUUAAAGUGGUACGCGAGCUGGGUUUAGAACGUCGUGAGACAGUUCGGUCCCUAUCUGCCGUGGGCGCUGGAGAAUUGAGGGGGGCUGCUCCUAGUACGAGAGGACCGGAGUGGACGCAUCACUGGUGUUCGGGUUGUCAUGCCAAUGGCACUGCCCGGUAGCUAAAUGCGGAAGAGAUAAGUGCUGAAAGCAUCUAAGCACGAAACUUGCCCCGAGAUGAGUUCUCCCUGAGACUUUAAGUCUCCUGAAGGAACGUUAAAGACGAUGACGUUGAAAGGUCGGGUGUGUAAGCGCAGCGAAGCGUUGAGCUAACCCAUACUAAUGAACCGUA
RNAcentral lists this ribosomal RNA (2894 nucleotides) under Enterobacter hormaechei. Its description in RNAcentral is "partial 23S ribosomal RNA". It matches the Rfam family "Bacterial large subunit ribosomal RNA". The record is from RNAcentral. Lineage: Bacteria; Pseudomonadati; Pseudomonadota; Gammaproteobacteria; Enterobacterales; Enterobacteriaceae.